This 445-nucleotide ribosomal RNA is filed under the name uncultured bacterium. RNAcentral describes it as "bacterial SSU rRNA". It matches the Rfam family "Bacterial small subunit ribosomal RNA", at positions 331 to 793 of the family's 1533-position model. The record is from RNAcentral.
CCAGACUCCUACGGGAGGCAGCAGUGGGGAAUAUUGCACAAUGGGGGAAACCCUGAUGCAGCGACGCCGCGUGAGUGAGGAAGUAUUUCGGUAUGUAAAGCUCUAUCAGCAGGGAAGAAAAUGACGGUACCUGACUAAGAAGCCCCGGCUAACUACGUGCCAGCAGCCGCGGUAAUACGUAGGGGGCAAGCGUUAUCCGGAUUUACUGGGUGUAAAGGGAGCGUAGACGGCUAAUCAAGUCAGAAGUGAAAACCCAGGGCUCAACCUUGGGACUGCUUUUGAAACUGAGUAGCUAGAGUGCAGGAGAGGUAAGCGGAAUUCCUAGUGUAGCGGUGAAAUGCGUAGAUAUUAGGAGGAACACCAGUGGCGAAGGCGACUUUCUGGACUGUACCUGACGCUGAGGCGCGAAAGCGUGGGUAGCGAACGGGAUUAGAUACCCUUGUAC